AGAAAGUUAGUCUAACUAAGACAGUUGGUUUCGGCCCAACAAAUUAUAGCUAAUCCUAUAACUUUCUU
This 68-nucleotide transfer RNA is filed under the name Macrocephalon maleo. Its description in RNAcentral is "tRNA-Arg". The record is from RNAcentral. Lineage: Eukaryota; Metazoa; Chordata; Aves; Galliformes; Megapodiidae.